Molecule: transfer RNA, 71 nt
Filed under: Ovis aries (sheep)
Lineage: Eukaryota; Metazoa; Chordata; Mammalia; Artiodactyla; Bovidae
Rfam family: tRNA
About the family: Transfer RNA (tRNA) molecules are approximately 80 nucleotides in length. Their secondary structure includes four short double-helical elements and three loops (D, anti-codon, and T loops). Further hydrogen bonds mediate the characteristic L-shaped molecular structure. tRNAs have two regions of fundamental functional importance: the anti-codon, which is responsible for specific mRNA codon recognition, and the 3' end, to which the tRNAs corresponding amino acid is attached (by aminoacyl-tRNA synthetases). tRNAs cope with the degeneracy of the genetic code in two manners: having more than one tRNA (with a specific anti-codon) for a particular amino acid; and 'wobble' base-pairing, i.e. permitting non-standard base-pairing at the 3rd anti-codon position.
Source: Rfam by way of RNAcentral
UCCCCAAUGGCUCAGUGGUAAAGAAUCUGCCUGCAAUGCAGGAGAUCCAGGUUCGAUCCCUGGGUGAGGAA